RNAcentral lists this ribosomal RNA (449 nucleotides) under uncultured bacterium. RNAcentral describes it as "partial 16S ribosomal RNA". It matches the Rfam family "Bacterial small subunit ribosomal RNA", at positions 29 to 523 of the family's 1533-position model. The record is from RNAcentral.
AACGAACGCUGGCGGCAGGCCUAACACAAGCAAGUCGAACGCUCCAGCAAUGGAGAGUGGCAGACGGGUGAGUAACACGUGGGAACCUUCCCUUUGGUUCGGAAUAGCCCAGGGAAACUUGGGGUAAUACCGGAUAAGCCCUUACGGGGAAAGAUUUAUCGCCGAAGGAUGGGCCCGCGUCGGAUUAGCUAGUUGGUGGGGUAACGGCCUACCAAGGCGACGAUCCGUAGCUGGUCUGAGAGGAUGAUCAGCCACACUGGGACUGAGACACGGCCCAGACUCCUACGGGAGGCAGUAGUGGGGAAUAUUGGACAAUGGGCGCAAGCCUGAUCCAGCCAUGCCGCGUGAGUGACGAAGGUCUUCGGAUUGUAAAGCUCUUUUGGCGGGGACGAUAAUGACGGUACCCGCAGAAUAAGCCCCGGCUAACUUCGUGCCAGCCGCCGCGGUAA